GUACGGGAGGCAGCAGUGAGGAAUAUUGCGCAAUGGGGGCAACCCUGACGCAGCGACGCCGCGUGGAUGAUUAAGGCCUUCGGGUUGUAAAAUCCUGUCAGAUGGGAAGAAGUGUGUAGUACUUAAUACGUGCUGCAUUUGACGGUACCAUCAAAGGAAGCACCGGCUAACUCCGUGCCAGCAGCCGCGGUAAUACGGAGGGUGCAAGCGUUGUUCGGAAUUACUGGGCGUAAAGCGCGCGUAGGCGGCUAUAUAAGUCAGAUGUGAAAGCCCGCGGCUCAACCGUGGAAGUGCAUUUGAAACUGUAUAGCUUGAGUACUGGAGGGGGUAGUGGAAUUCCCGGUGUAGAGGUGAAAUUCGUAGAUAUCGGGAGGAAUACCGGUGGCGAAGGCGACUACCUGGCCAGAUACUGACGCUGAGGUGCGAAAGCGUGGGGAGCAAACAGGAUUAGAUACCCCUGUAGUC
RNAcentral lists this ribosomal RNA (465 nucleotides) under uncultured bacterium. RNAcentral's name for it is "bacterial SSU rRNA". It matches the Rfam family "Bacterial small subunit ribosomal RNA", at positions 339 to 795 of the family's 1533-position model. The record is from RNAcentral.